Cannabis sativa is the source of this 439-nucleotide long non-coding RNA. RefSeq lists it as uncharacterized. The record is from RefSeq and is a predicted model, not a curated record. NCBI's taxonomy places the organism in Eukaryota, Viridiplantae, Streptophyta, Magnoliopsida, Rosales, Cannabaceae. The transcript is spliced from 2 exons.
AAAAUAGCAAGAACACUCAACAUACACACAAAUACAAAUACCAGAAAAGUAAUAAGAGUGAGAUGAGAGAAUGCAAACAGUGAUUAAGAAGAUGACACCAAAACUUUGAUCUCGGAGUUCGCCCAAAACAACCGGCUACUUCUCCGUCAAGCCCUCAGCUUGAUUCCACUAAUCAUCAAACAAAGGAGGAGCUCACAUGGAGAUGACAACUCUUAGCCAAAAGGCUCUCAUUUUCUCUGUUGUUGAAUCUAUUGUUCUCUCUGGCUGUGACUAUUUACUUUUGUUGUAUCUCUUAUUUUGCUCUGUAUGUUAUUGCUUGUUGUAUCUGAGAAAAGCACCUCCUUUAUAUACUGUUCUGUGAUCUGAUCUAGGGCAGAGCCCUAGUGAUAUUUGUAACUGUUUUUAUAACUGCUUCAGUUGUAACUGUCUUUGUAACUGU